RNAcentral lists this ribosomal RNA (242 nucleotides) under uncultured bacterium. Its description in RNAcentral is "partial 16S ribosomal RNA". It matches the Rfam family "Bacterial small subunit ribosomal RNA", at positions 524 to 758 of the family's 1533-position model. The record is from RNAcentral.
UACGUAGGGUGCAAGCGUUAAUCGGAAUUACUGGGCGUAAAGCGUGCGCAGGCGGUGAUGUAAGACAGGUGUGAAAUCCCCGGGCUUAACCUGGGAAUUGCAUUUGUGACUGCACGGCUAGAGUGUGUCAGAGGGGGGGUAGAAUUCCAACGUGUAGGCAGUGAAAUGCGUAGAGAUGUGGGGGGAAUACCGAUGGCGAAAGGCAGCCCCCCUGGGGAUAACACUGACGCUCAUGCACGAAA